This 83-nucleotide transfer RNA is filed under the name Candidatus Pacearchaeota archaeon. Its description in RNAcentral is "tRNA-Leu". It matches the Rfam family "tRNA". From Rfam's summary of the family: Transfer RNA (tRNA) molecules are approximately 80 nucleotides in length. Their secondary structure includes four short double-helical elements and three loops (D, anti-codon, and T loops). Further hydrogen bonds mediate the characteristic L-shaped molecular structure. tRNAs have two regions of fundamental functional importance: the anti-codon, which is responsible for specific mRNA codon recognition, and the 3' end, to which the tRNAs corresponding amino acid is attached (by aminoacyl-tRNA synthetases). tRNAs cope with the degeneracy of the genetic code in two manners: having more than one tRNA (with a specific anti-codon) for a particular amino acid; and 'wobble' base-pairing, i.e. permitting non-standard base-pairing at the 3rd anti-codon position. The record is from RNAcentral. Lineage: Archaea; Nanobdellati.
GGGGAGAUGCCGGAGUGGUCUAACGGGCUAGGCUUAGAACCUAGUGGCUCACGCCUUCAGGGGUUCAAAUCCUCUUCUCCCCA